GUACACGCUGUGACUAGCAUAUCAAUAAGCGGAGGAAAAGAAACUAACAAGGAUUCCCCUAGUAACGGGGAGUGAAGCGGGAAGAGCUCAAAUUUGAAAUCUUAAAGGGUUUCCCUUUACGAAUUGUAGUUUAAAGGAAGUGUUUUCUGUUGAGGUUUUGGUAAAAGUUCUUUGGAAUAGGACAUCAUAGAGGGUGAGAAUCCCGUAUUUGACCUUUACUUUCAACUUUGUGAUACACUUUCGAAGAGUCGGAUUGUUUGGGAAUGCAGUCCAAAAUGGGUGGUAAAUUUCAUCUAAAGCUAAAUAUUGGCGAGAGACCGAUAGCGAACAAGUACCGUGAGGGAAAGAUGAAAAGAACUUUGAAAAGAGAGUUAAACAGUACGUGAAAUUGUCAAAAGGGAAGCGUUUGACACCAGUGUUGUUUUUCUGAAAAUCAAUUAAAGAACUGUUUAUGCUAAGUUGUUUAGACUUUAUCAGCUAACUGUUUAGUUUUGAGCUUUUCUUUAAUGCACUUUUCAGUUAACAAGUCAACAUCAAUUUCUUUUGCUGUAAAAAAGCUUGAGGAAGGUGGCUUGAGAUUCGUCUUAAGUGUUUAUAGCCUCUUGCCUAUGCAGUCGGAGAGAUUGAGGUCUGCAGCGUAGAUCCUUCGGGGCUAAAUGCAUUUGUGCUAAGUUAUAGCAUUUUAUAGACAACUUGUUGACUAUGAUUUGUCUUGUAGCUUACUCGCUUAUGUUAUUUUACCUACGCUUAGGAUGUUGACGCGCGUGUGUGCGUG
Molecule: ribosomal RNA, 775 nt
Filed under: uncultured Neocallimastigales
Lineage: Eukaryota; Fungi; Neocallimastigomycota; Neocallimastigomycetes; Neocallimastigales
Description: partial large subunit ribosomal RNA
Rfam family: Eukaryotic large subunit ribosomal RNA
Source: RNAcentral